This 253-nucleotide ribosomal RNA is filed under the name uncultured bacterium. Its description in RNAcentral is "partial 16S ribosomal RNA". It matches the Rfam family "Bacterial small subunit ribosomal RNA", at positions 524 to 776 of the family's 1533-position model. The record is from RNAcentral.
UACGUAGGGGGCUAGCGUUGCUCGGAAUUACUGGGCGUAAAGGGCGCGUAGGCGGGCUGCCAAGUCUGGGGUGAAAUCCCACGGCUCAACCGUGGAACUGCCUCGGAUACUGGCGGCCUCGAGGGAGGUAGGGGCGUGCGGAACUGUGGGUGGAGCGGUGAAAUGCGUUGAUAUCCACAGGAACUCCGGUGGCGAAGGCGGCACGCUGGACCUCUUCUGACGCUGAGGCGCGAAAGCCAGGGGAGCAAACGGG